UGCAGUGAAAUGACUGAAAGUGAGAUGU
This 28-nucleotide non-coding RNA is filed under the name Rattus norvegicus (Norway rat). Lineage: Eukaryota; Metazoa; Chordata; Mammalia; Rodentia; Muridae. The record is from RNAcentral.